Molecule: long non-coding RNA, 307 nt
Organism: Conger conger (European conger)
Lineage: Eukaryota; Metazoa; Chordata; Actinopteri; Anguilliformes; Congridae
Exons: 3
Source: RefSeq, a predicted model, not a curated record
GUCAUUUUGAACGCGGAGGCUAAAGAAGAGGCUGUAAAGAAGAAAUAAAAUUGAAUAAAAGUUGGCUGAUUUGGGUCAGAACCCACAUGUGGUCUAGUCUGGUCUGACGUGUUCCAGUCUCCUGAGAUAGGGGGCGCUGUUUCUAAAAUGAGUCUCUCAGAGGAGCCAGAGAGCAAAGGUGGAACCCUCAGCACUGACAGAAAGAGGGUCCAGGUAGAAAGAGCAGGGUCACCUGUACCCAGCUGUCUGUCUAUGAAGAGUGAUCAGUCAAUGGAACCUCCACUCAAGCUUAGACGAGAGGUCACAG